UGGGGAAUUGUUCGCAAUGGGCGCAAGCCUGACGACGCAACGCCGCGUGGAGGAUGAAGAAUUUCGGUUCGUAAACUCCUUUCGACCGAGAUGAACAUCCUUCGGUUUAACACACCGGAGGACUGACAGUAACGAGAGACGAAGCCCCGGCUAACUCUGUGCCAGCAGCCGCGGUAAUACAGGGGGGGCAAGCGUUGUUCGGAAUUACUGGGCGUAAAGGGUUCGUAGGUGGCCAACUAAGUCAGGUGUGAAAUCCCUCAGCUUAACUGGGGAACUGCUUCUGAUACUGGUUGGCUUGAGUGCAGGAGAGGAAUGCGGAAUUCCAGGUGUAGCGGUGAAAUGCGUAGAUAUCUGGAGGAACACCGGUGGCGAAGGCGGCAUUCUGGACUGUAACUGACACUGAGGAACGAAAGCCAGGGGAGCAA
Molecule: ribosomal RNA, 425 nt
Filed under: uncultured bacterium
Lineage: Bacteria
Description: bacterial SSU rRNA
Rfam family: Bacterial small subunit ribosomal RNA
Source: RNAcentral